UCCAGAGGCCUCAAAGUCAACACCAAGA
RNAcentral lists this small RNA (28 nucleotides) under Bombyx mori (domestic silkworm). RNAcentral describes it as "ovarian small RNA-26758". The record is from RNAcentral. Lineage: Eukaryota; Metazoa; Arthropoda; Insecta; Lepidoptera; Bombycidae.